GAUGAACGCUGGCGGCGUGCCUAAUACAUGCAAGUCGAGCGACCAGACGAGGAGCUUGCUCCUCUGACGUUAGCGGCGGACGGGUGAGUAACACGUGGAUAACCUACCUAUAAUACUGGGAUAACUUCGGGAAACCGGAGCUAAUACCGGAUAAUAUAUUGAACCGCAUGGUUCAAUAGUGAAAGACGGUUUUGCUGUCACUUAUAGAUGGAUCCGCGCCGCAUUAGCUAGUUGGUAAGGUAACGGCUUGCCAAGGCAACGAUGCGUAGCCGACCUGAGAGGGUGAUCGGCCACACUGGAACUGAGACACGGUCCAGACUCCUACGGGAGGCAGCAGUAGGGAAUCUUCCGCAAUGGGCGAAAGCUUGACGGAGCAACGCCGCGUGAGUGAUGAAGGUCUUCGGAUCGUAAAACUCUGUUAUUAGGGAAGAACAAAUGUGUAAGUAACUAUGCACGUCUUGACGGUACCUAAUCAGAAAGCCACGGCUAACUACGUG
Molecule: ribosomal RNA, 497 nt
Filed under: uncultured bacterium
Lineage: Bacteria
Description: partial 16S ribosomal RNA
Rfam family: Bacterial small subunit ribosomal RNA
Source: RNAcentral